GGUACACGAGCGGCGAACGGGUGAGUAACACGUGGGUGAUCUGCCCUGCACUUCGGGAUAAGCCUGGGAAACUGGGUCUAAUACCGGAUAUGACCUCCUGUUGCAUGGCUUGGGGUGGAAAGAUUUAUCCGGGUGGCAGGAUGGGCCCGCGGCCUAUCAGGCUUGUUGGUGGGGUAAUGGCCUACCAAGGCGAUCGACCGGUAGCCGAACUGAGGAGGGGUGGACCGGCCACACUGGAACUGAGACACGGCCCAGACUCCUACCGGGAGGCAGCAGUGGGGAAUAUUGCACAAUGGGCGAAAGCCUGAUGCAGCGACGCCGCGUGAGGGAUGACGGCCUUCGGGUUGUAAACCUCUUUCAGCAGGGACGAAGCGCAAGUGACGGUACCUGCAGAAGAAGCACCGGGCUAACUACGUGCCAGCAGCCGCGGUAAUACGUAGGGUGCAAGCGUUGUCCGGAAUUACUGGGCGUAAAGAGUUCGUAGGCGGUUUGUCGCGUCGUUUGUGAAAACCAGCAGCUCAACUGCUGGCUUGCAGGCGAUACGGGCAGACUUGAGUACUGCAGGGGAGACUGGAAUUCCUGGUGUAGCGGUGAAAUGCGCAGAUAUCAGGAGGAACACCGGUGGCGAAGGCGGGUCUCUGGGCAGUAACUGACGCUGAGGAACGAAAGCGUGGGUAGCGAACAGGAUUAGAUACCCUGGUAGUCCACGCCGUAAACGGUGGGCGCUAGGUGUGGGUUCCUUCCACGGAAUCCGUGCCGUAGCUAACGCAUUAAGCGCCCCGCCUGGGGAGUACGGCCGCAAGGCUAAAACUCAAAGGAAUUGACGGGGGCCCGCACAAGCGGCGGAGCAUGUGGAUUAAUUCGAUGCAACGCGAAGAACCUUACCUGGGUUUGACAUAUACCGGAAAGCUGCAGAGAUGUGGCCCCCCUUGUGGUCGGUAUACAGGUGGUGCAUGGCUGUCGUCAGCUCGUGUCGUGAGAUGUUGGGGUUAAGUCCCGCAACGAGCGCAACCCCUAUCUUAUGUUGCCAGCACGUUAUGGUGGGGACUCGUAAGAGACUGCCGGGGUCAACUCGGAGGAAGGUGGGGACGACGUCAAGUCAUCAUGCCCCUUAUGUCCAGGGCUUCACACAUGCCUACAAUGGCCAGUACAGAGGGCUGGCCAGACCGUGAGGUGGAGCGAAUCACUUAAAGCUAGUCUCAGUUCGGAUCGGGGUCUGCAACUUGCAACCCCGUGAAGUCGGAGUCGCUAGUAAUCGCAGAUCAGCAACGCUGCGGUGAAUACGUUCCCGGGCCUUGUACACACCGCCCGUCACGUCAUGAAAGUCGGUAACACCCGAAGCCGGUG
RNAcentral lists this ribosomal RNA (1347 nucleotides) under Rhodococcus erythropolis. RNAcentral's name for it is "bacterial SSU rRNA". It matches the Rfam family "Bacterial small subunit ribosomal RNA", at positions 86 to 1432 of the family's 1533-position model. Lineage: Bacteria; Bacillati; Actinomycetota; Actinomycetes; Mycobacteriales; Nocardiaceae. The record is from RNAcentral.